This 679-nucleotide ribosomal RNA is filed under the name uncultured Leuconostoc sp. Its description in RNAcentral is "bacterial SSU rRNA". It matches the Rfam family "Bacterial small subunit ribosomal RNA", at positions 84 to 751 of the family's 1533-position model. The record is from RNAcentral. Lineage: Bacteria; Bacillati; Bacillota; Bacilli; Lactobacillales; Lactobacillaceae.
CUUUCAAGUGAGUGGCGAACGGGUGAGUAACACGUGGAUAACCUACCUCAAGGUUGGGGAUAACAUUUGGAAACAGAUGCUAAUACCGAAUAAAACUUCGUAUCGCAUGAUACAAGGUUAAAAGGCGCUACGGCGUCACCUAGAGAUGGAUCCGCGGUGCAUUAGUUAGUUGGUGGGGUAAAGGCCUACCAAGACAAUGAUGCAUAGCCGAGUUGAGAGACUGAUCGGCCACAUUGGGACUGAGACACGGCCCAAACUCCUACGGGAGGCUGCAGUAGGGAAUCUUCCACAAUGGGCGAAAGCCUGAUGGAGCAACGCCGCGUGUGUGAUGAAGGCUUUCGGGUCGUAAAGCACUGUUGUAUGGGAAGAACAGCUAGAGUAGGGAAUGACUUUAGUUUGACGGUACCAUACCAGAAAGGGACGGCUAAAUACGUGCCAGCAGCCGCGGUAAUACGUAUGUCCCGAGCGUUAUCCGGAUUUAUUGGGCGUAAAGCGAGCGCAGACGGUUGAUUAAGUCUGAUGUGAAAGCCCGGAGCUCAACUCCGGAAAGGCAUUGGAAACUGGUCAACUUGAGUGCAGUAGAGGUAAGUGGAACUCCAUGUGUAGCGGUGGAAUGCGUAGAUAUAUGGAAGAACACCAGCGGCGAAGGCGGCUUACUGGACUGUAACUGACGUUGAGG